RNAcentral lists this ribosomal RNA (468 nucleotides) under uncultured bacterium. Its description in RNAcentral is "partial 16S ribosomal RNA". It matches the Rfam family "Bacterial small subunit ribosomal RNA", at positions 28 to 507 of the family's 1533-position model. The record is from RNAcentral.
GACGAACGCUGGCGGCGUGCUUAACACAUGCAAGUCGAACGGAAAGGCCCUGCUUUUGUGGGGUGCUCGAGUGGCGAACGGGUGAGUAACACGUGAGUAACCUGCCCUUGACUUUGGGAUAACUUCAGGAAACUGGGGCUAAUACCGGAUAGGAGCUCCUGCUGCAUGGUGGGGGUUGGAAAGUUUCGGCGGUUGGGGAUGGACUCGCGGCUUAUCAGCUUGUUGGUGGGGUAGUGGCUUACCAAGGCUUUGACGGGUAGCCGGCCUGAGAGGGUGACCGGCCACAUUGGGCCUGAGAUACGGCCCAGACUCCUACGGGAGGCAGCAGUGGGGAAUAUUGCACAAUGGGCUGAAGCCUGAUGCAGCAACGCCGCGUGCGGGAUGACGGCCUUCGGGUUGUAAACCGCUUUCGCCUGUGACGAAGCGUGAGUGACGGUAAUGGGUAAAGAAGCACCGGCUAACUACGUG